Molecule: long non-coding RNA, 3396 nt
Filed under: Oryza brachyantha (malo sina)
Lineage: Eukaryota; Viridiplantae; Streptophyta; Magnoliopsida; Poales; Poaceae
Description: long non-coding RNA (OBRA_LNC001204)
Source: RNAcentral
UUUAUAUGCAUAAGUUCGGCCUGACUAGCAUUAGAUUGUGUUUGGUUGUUUGCAUGAGAAAUAUGGUUUGGAAUAUAUUUUAUUUGGUUGGUUGCAUAGAGAUUACCCUCUAGAUUUCAUAUAUUAAUUAAAAAAAUGGAACAAAUUUAAGUGCCAAACAAUAAAGAAAAUAAAGAAAACAAAAAUAGUAGCACAUUGCAGAGAAAAAUCGUCAUCCUCAGCUUGCUUUCCCCUCUAGCUCACCGGCACGCCCGCCUCCCCUCCCUCCGCCGUCGCCGCUCGCUCCCCCCCUUUGCCGUCGCCUCACCGGCGUCCCCCCCCCCCCCCCCCCCCCCGCCACCCUCUCCCUCGCCCUCCGCCGCUGCUCGCUCCUCUCCCGCCCUCUGUCGUCGCCUCACCGUCACUGCCCGACUCCCCUCCCUCCGCCGCUGCCCUCUCCCCUGCUCUCCCCCGUCCUCCGCCGUCACCUCACCGGCGCGGCCCGACUCCCCUCCCUUCACCGCCGCCCGCUCCCCCGCCCUCCACUGCCGCUCGCUCCUCUCCCCUCCCUCGUCGCUCCCCACUACUGUUCGGCUUCUUCUUCCUCUCGAUAGAUCUGGCGUUGCUCAAGGAGCUGCCGGUGACGGCGUGCGGCCGUGCGGGAUUUGGCGGCCAGCGGAGAUGACGACAGUCGUGCGGGGACGGAGAAGCAAAUGGGGGCGAUGGAGGUGAGGGGACGCGCCACCCCCUCGUCCGCCUUGCACCAGCGCAUGCGCGAGCUGCACCCGCCCAUCCGCGCGCUGCACGCGCCCAGCCCGGACGGGGAGGGAAGCUCAACCCGAGCGUUUCUCCCCAGCCUGGCUGGGGGGAGGAUUUUGCAUGGUCAGAGCUAGGCCCUAGAAGGCAUGCAGGCUACCGAGCACUCGUCCAUUGCAUGUGUGGGUGUAAAUUUGGGUUGAUGCAGGUAACCAAACACACCUUUAGAUUUUAGUACUACAUUAGGCAGAAUUCACUGAAUUCUAGCUAACAUUUUUGGUUGCAUCUUUCAUAUUCUAAACAGGAAAGUUUAGAGGAACAAGACUCAUUCAAUCCUAAGAUGGUUUAAUGACUGGAUAGGGGGUGAUUGUUUGGGUCACGUGCAAAAAACAUAUUUACAAACUACAAAUAAUUUGAUUUUAUAUAGAUGUUCUUAGUAAUUUAAAUACAAAGAAUGAAAAAUAAACUACGAUAAAAAACCUUAAAAAUCAACUUCAAAUUUAAGGUUAAAAGUUCAAAAUUUCACCUAUAAGCAUAAGCGAAAAGACGAUGAUAUAAUAUUGGCAAUAGCAUCUGAGGGCAAAUACAUUUUAAUGUUUCUUUACAAAGUGGAAAAAUGCAUUUCUUCCAUAAACAUAUGGACAAGUGAAGCACAUAAAUGAUUGGUGUACUGCAGUGCAUUUUAUCUGCAUUUCUCAGUCAACUAUGCCCGCGUUCGUUUUGGGUGAGAGGGUAGGUUAGGUAUCCGUUGCGGAAAAAAUAGUAAUAGAUUAGUACAUGAUUAAUUAGUUAUUAAUUAUUAAAAAUAUAUAAUAGAUUAAUAUGAUUUUUAAAACAAUUUUUUUAUAAAUUUUUUUUUAAAAUACACCGUUUAGCAGUUUGGGAAGCGCGCAAACGGAAAACGAGCGUGCACACGGAAAACGAGUGAACUAAGAUAACUUAGCCCCAGGCCGAAUGUGGCCUAUGUUGUAUAAAUACCUAUGGAUGAUCAUCUGGCUUUUUCAUGAGGAAAAAACGAUAAAUGACAUAUUUAUAAAUAAAAAUAAUUUAUGAAUAAAACUUUUAUGCACAUGUUCUUAGCGAUCUAAAGCCAAGACUAAAAAAUAACCUACGAUGAAAACACCUUAAAAUAUUCCAAAUCUAAGGUAAAAAAUUUAAACUUUAGCUUAUAAGAAUAAGUAUAAGCGAAAAGAUAUGAACGUUAGAUGUCAUUGCUUUAAGAUAUUAGCACUUGUUUAUAUUGCCACGUCAGACGAUGAAAAUGAAAAUACAUUAAUUUCGAACCUUCAAUCAUCAGAACCAACUUGCUGAUAAAAAUUACAUCUUAAUCUUGACAAACCUUAUUAUCCUUCGACAGACAUCUUAUUAUGGACUCUGUUUAUAUUGAACCCUUCACCCAAAAACCCUGGAAAUGGAUAUCCUAAUGAACAACAGCAGGUAUUAUUUGCUUUCAUUGAAUGAGGCAUGCGUGGUUUAAACAAUAUGACAAAAUCAUAGUCCCGACCGUUUCUAAUUCCUUUUGUGGUAUAUUUUCUAGUAUGACUUAGAUUUAUAUAGAUACUGGUAAAUCUAGACAUAUAUAUAUAAAUUAUAUAUAUUUAUCAAUAAAUGAGUUUAGACGAAAAGUCUUAUGGUAUAAAACAGAGACAGUGCCAUAUUUGCAUUUCUAUUGUCUGGACACACUAGAGGUGAGACGAUGACUCAGAGAAGUAAGGGACGACAGAACAAACUUACCGCAUCAAAAUCAUUUCUACGUGAUAUUUGAUUGACUAUUUAGUUCUGUAAUUACACAAUGCAUGGUGUACGUAGUUAAUUUAUAUAUAACAGAUCUAAGGCUGCGUUCUUUUUAGAUAGAUUAUUCAUCGAUUUUUAUACGUGUGUUUCCUAAAUUGUUAAACGGUGUAUUUUUUAAAUAAAAUUAAAAUUCUAAAAAGUUCAUCAACUUAUUUUUAAGUAGAUUUUUGUUACAAAAUUAAUUAUUUUUUUAUAUUUCAUCAAUCAAAAUAACAUACCUAAAAUGACCUUGACAUACUGACUGACAGGACCAUGGAGUUGUUGGGGCUUGAGGUUCUCCUGUUCUUUUGUCUUCCUAAUUUUGACAAAUGAUAACUGCAUGGAGGGUUCGAGUCGUCCUCCGACCAAAGCAUACUGGAUUACAUGCAGAUUUUGCACUGGUUUGCUGUCCAUCUCCUGUAACGUGGCCAUCGUAGCCAUUGACGAUUUGAAACCGACACCAUGGAACAACUAUUAGACAUUCCAAUUCUUUAUUAUCUUCCCUGCAGAUUGGCUAUUGAAAUGAAUCAUUUCUCUCUGAUGAUCGCAUCAGAAGAGGUCAAUUUCUGCAAGGCGUCGUUCCAACCACUCAGAAAUAGUUCUUUCCAGUGAGAGUACAUAUUUCGGUCAAUGAUCCCUGGUCACCGAGCAUUUGAGUCGAGAUAUGCAUUUCGGUCAACAAUCCUGGUCACCUUGUGUCUGCUUUCCUAACAGAUCUUGUUGAUCUUGAUUUGAUCAGCAUUUCUGGAUAAUGAGUACACAAUUAUCUCCGGUGUUUAAUACUUCAACAUUGGGUCAUGUACUCAUGCAUGUACCACAUAAUUUUCUGGGCUCCUAAUCGUGCGCCUCGUUCUGUCAUCUGCAAAUAAUUAAAGUAAGUUAUUUUAU